UUUUUGUUCUGACAAACACAACUUUAGAUCAUAAUGGUCAAAUGUUUGGUUCCCAAUUCUCAACUGAGUCAAUUAAAAGUAGAGAGUAGGAGAAUUUUUACUGAGAGAUGAAUGGAUACAAUCUCUUUUGAAAGACAAAUUAUUUUUAUUCACGUCUCUACAUAUUGAUUUAGGAACUUAGCAUUGGCUACUGAAUUUAAAUUAGGAGCCAAAAGAUUCUGCUUUGCUUUUAUGAAUGCUGUUAAUGAAUUAAGCUUUCCAGUAUGCCCUCAAGAGGCUUGUUCAGCACUUUGCUGAUUGUAGGUGCAAUAAUUAAGCCAAAGGACAAGACCUGGAAAAACACCAUAGGCACUUCCAGCUCAGGUGUGAGGAGGUGAAAACCUGGAUAUCUGUUCACCCCAUCCUGCUGCUCUGCAUGUGGGGACUGGCUACAGCUGGGAGAAGUAGGGUUGCGUGGGCUUGUUCCAGAAGCUGGUGAAGUGUUGAUCCACACUCAUUUAUUCCAGAAACAAACAAUUGCUUUUAAGGUAACAAUAUUUAACUUUUUAUAGCACUGCAGUGGCAGGGAUAAACUGUGACAACCAUUGCUGGAAAAGGAGAGAAAGUACGACACAAUCCCGUUCAACAGAAGACGACUGCUGGCUCCACAUUCAACAGUGCAUCAAAUUAAACCUUCUUGUCACUGUCCUCGAUGCUCUGCAUAACUCUUCCCUUCCCUACUUCUCCCCCUUUGUCACACUCUGAGUCCUCCUCACCCCUGUAGCUGUGCUCACUUUGUCAAAGCUCCCAGCUUUGUCAGGUUCUUUAUCAACUACUCCUACUGUUGCCCAAAAGCCCUAUCACAUGUAGCCCUCUAUAUAAACGGCCCACAUUCCACCCACCUCUUAAAAACUCCUUUGUGCUGUGUUACCUAAAAUGAAUUGCAUUGGAUAUACCCUGCCCAAGCAGAGGCUUCAAGGACUGACAAAGGUGAUUUUCUGAGAUAGGUGCAGCAAGUAUUUAUUAUUCGGUAGCAUAUAUUCCUCAUUAAAAUUUGCAAGAGUGAAAAGUCUGAUCCAGUACAUAUUUGACUGGGGGGUUAGUCCAGAAACUUGGCAUAAAGUAUUCCUGCCUGCUCUCAGAAGUAGGCUAAAACUGGCUGUAUGCCUGAUUUUCUUUCCUUUAAGCUACAUCCUUCCUCAGAUCAUGAGCUCCUGGACACAAAAUCCCCCCAUCCUGAACCA
Long non-coding RNA from Anas platyrhynchos (mallard), 1223 nucleotides. RefSeq lists it as uncharacterized. NCBI's taxonomy places the organism in Eukaryota, Metazoa, Chordata, Aves, Anseriformes, Anatidae. The record is from RefSeq and is a predicted model, not a curated record.